AUUUGGUCAAAUAAUACACUGAACUAACCACCUAAAUACACAUGACUAACCAUAAAACACAUAACCGUGUAAACUCAGUUGAAAUUCCUAAAUUCAAUUUUACACGGUUUUGUGCUUUAUGGUUAGUCAUGUGUAUUUAGGUGGUUAGUUCAGUGUAUUAUUUGGCCAAAU
Molecule: microRNA precursor, 171 nt
Filed under: Lotus japonicus
Lineage: Eukaryota; Viridiplantae; Streptophyta; Magnoliopsida; Fabales; Fabaceae
Description: miR11107b stem-loop (lja-MIR11107b)
Source: miRBase by way of RNAcentral